RNAcentral lists this ribosomal RNA (253 nucleotides) under uncultured bacterium. RNAcentral's name for it is "partial 16S ribosomal RNA". It matches the Rfam family "Bacterial small subunit ribosomal RNA", at positions 524 to 776 of the family's 1533-position model. The record is from RNAcentral.
UACAGGGGGUGCAAACGUUGCUCGGAAUCAUUGGGCGUAAAGCGCACGUAGGCGGUUCGUUAUGUCGGAUGUGAAAGCCCUUGGCUUAACCGAGGAAGUGCAUCCGAAACUGGCGAGCUAGAGUACGAAAGAGGAUCGCGGAAUUCCCGGUGUAGAGGUGAAAUUCGUAGAUAUCGGGAGGAACACCGGUGGCGAAGGCGGCGAUCUGGGUCGAUACUGACGCUGAGGUGCGAAAUCGUGGGGAGCAAACAGG